RNAcentral lists this ribosomal RNA (524 nucleotides) under uncultured bacterium. RNAcentral describes it as "partial 16S ribosomal RNA". It matches the Rfam family "Bacterial small subunit ribosomal RNA", at positions 28 to 523 of the family's 1533-position model. The record is from RNAcentral.
GACGAACGCUGGCGGCGUGCCUAAUACAUGCAAGUCGAACGAAGCUUUUUUAACUGGUGCUUGCACCGACUUAAACAACUGAGUGGCGAACGGGUGAGUAACACGUGGGUAACCUGCCCCAAAGCGGGGGAUAACAUUUGGAAACAGAUGCUAAUACCGCAUAACCACAGAAACCACAUGGUUUCUGUGUCAAAGAUGGUUUCGGCUAUCACUUUGGGAUGGACCCGCGGCGUAUUAGCUAGUUGGUAAGGUAAUGGCUUACCAAGGCAAUGAUACGUAGCCGAACUGAGAGGUUGAUCGGCCACAUUGGGACUGAGACACGGCCGAAACUCCUGCGGGAGGCAGCAGUAGGGAAUCUUCCACAAUGGACGAAAGUCUGAUGGAGCAACGCCGCGUGAGUGAAGAAGGUUUUCGGAUCGUAAAACUCUGUUGUCAGAGAAGAACGUGUGCGAGAGUAACUGUUCGUGCAGUGACGGUAUCUGGCCAGAAAGCCACGGCUAACUACGUGCCAGCAGCCGCGGUAA